This 385-nucleotide unclassified non-coding RNA is filed under the name Hevea brasiliensis (rubber tree). The record is from RNAcentral. Lineage: Eukaryota; Viridiplantae; Streptophyta; Magnoliopsida; Malpighiales; Euphorbiaceae.
UUUAUUGACUGUUGCACUAGGUUGGCAUAAGCUUAUUGGAUGAGAGCAAAAGGUGAGGUGUUUUCUUGCUUUCAGCAGUUUCACAAAAUGAUUUGCAUAUAAUUUGAUACUAAGAUUAAAAUCUUAAGAACUGAUAAUGGCACAGAAUAUGUUAAUGGUGUUUUUCAUGCUUAUUUGAAUUCAAAUGAUAUAAUGUAUCAAACUAAUUGUGUUAAUACUAGUAAACAAAAUAGGAUGUCUAAAAGAAAAAAUAGAUAUUUAUUAGAAGUGGCUCGAUCUCUUAUAUUUACUAUGAAUCUUCCUACAUCUUAUUUGGGGGAAGUAAUUCUUGCUGCAAUAUAUCUUAUCAAUAGAAUGCCUCUGAGAACACUCAACUUUAAGAGCC